Molecule: transfer RNA, 75 nt
Filed under: Oribacterium sp. oral taxon 102
Lineage: Bacteria; Bacillati; Bacillota; Clostridia; Lachnospirales; Lachnospiraceae
Description: tRNA-Pro
Rfam family: tRNA
About the family: Transfer RNA (tRNA) molecules are approximately 80 nucleotides in length.
Source: RNAcentral
CGAGGUGUGGCUCAGUUUGGCUAGAGCACCUGUUUUGGGAACAGGGGGUCGCAAGUUCGAAUCUUGUCACCUCGA